UACGGGGGGGGCAAGCGUUGUUCGGAAUUACUGGGCGUAAAGGGCGCGUAGGCGGCCUUGUAAGUCAGACGUGAAAUCCCUCGGCUCAACCGAGGAACUGCGUCUGAUACUGGAAGGCUUGAAUCCGGGAGAGGGAUGUGGAAUUCCAGGUGUAGCGGUGAAAUGCGUAGAUAUCUGGAGGAACACCGGUGGCGAAGGCGGCAUCCUGGACCGGUAUUGACGCUGAGGCGCGAAAGCUAGGGGAGCAAACGGG
RNAcentral lists this ribosomal RNA (253 nucleotides) under uncultured bacterium. RNAcentral describes it as "partial 16S ribosomal RNA". It matches the Rfam family "Bacterial small subunit ribosomal RNA", at positions 524 to 776 of the family's 1533-position model. The record is from RNAcentral.